CCGUGCAGCCGGGGAGAUAGCGGUGCCUUGUACCUGCAAUCCGCUACAGCAGGGGUGAUGUCCUGUCUGAGGGUCAUAUCCUGUGGAGCUGCCCUGUAUAAGUGGCGUUGAAGCCUGGGUCUUGCGCAACAGAAACCCGUGAACCGUGUCAGGUCAGGAAUGGAGCAGCACUAAGCGGGAUCUUUUGUGUGCCGCGAGGGUGCCUGGGCUGAGUUAACUGUACAGGUAACGUCUGUGGGAGUGAUUCGAAGCAGGAUGCACGG
Molecule: signal recognition particle RNA, 263 nt
Filed under: Frisingicoccus caecimuris
Lineage: Bacteria; Bacillati; Bacillota; Clostridia; Lachnospirales; Lachnospiraceae
Description: Bacterial large signal recognition particle RNA
Rfam family: Bacterial large signal recognition particle RNA
About the family: The signal recognition particle (SRP) is a universally conserved ribonucleoprotein involved in the co-translational targeting of proteins to membranes. Archaeal SRP consists of a 7S RNA and homologues of the eukaryotic SRP19 and SRP54 proteins.
Source: Rfam by way of RNAcentral